AUCUAGCUGACCAGUCCCAAAUUGGAGAAAACGCGCGUCCUGGAU
Non-coding RNA from Schistosoma haematobium, 45 nucleotides. The record is from Rfam. Lineage: Eukaryota; Metazoa; Platyhelminthes; Trematoda; Strigeidida; Schistosomatidae.